RNAcentral lists this small nucleolar RNA (70 nucleotides) under Scophthalmus maximus (turbot). RNAcentral's name for it is "Small nucleolar RNA SNORD75 (ENSSMAG00000006401.2)". It matches the Rfam family "Small nucleolar RNA SNORD75". From Rfam's summary of the family: U75 (SNORD75) belongs to the C/D class of snoRNAs which contain the C (UGAUGA) and D (CUGA) box motifs. Most of the members of the box C/D family function in directing site-specific 2'-O-methylation of substrate RNAs. This family includes the mouse orthologue Z19. The record is from Rfam by way of RNAcentral. Lineage: Eukaryota; Metazoa; Chordata; Actinopteri; Pleuronectiformes; Scophthalmidae.
AGUCACUGAUGAUUUUUGAUUAUAAGAGUAGUGGACAGAAGCGAUUUCUGAGUAAUCAUAUACUGAGACU